Molecule: ribosomal RNA, 490 nt
Filed under: uncultured bacterium
Lineage: Bacteria
Description: partial 16S ribosomal RNA
Rfam family: Bacterial small subunit ribosomal RNA
Source: RNAcentral
GACGAACGCUGGCGGCGUGCUUAACACAUGCAAGUCGAGCGGAAAGGCCCUUUCGGGGGUACUCGAGCGGCGAACGGGUGAGUAACACGUGAGUAAUCUGCCCUUAACUUGGGGAUAACUACCGGAAACGGUGGCUAAUACCCGAUAUGACCAAUCACUGCCUGGUGUGUUGGUGGAAAGUUUCUUCGGUGGAGGAUGUGCUCGCGGCCUAUCAGCUUGUUGGUGGGGUAAUGGCCUACCAAGGCUUCGACGGGUAGCCGGCCUGAGAGGGUGACCGGCCACACUGGGACUGAGACACGGCCCAGACUCCUACGGGAGGCAGCAGUGGGGAAUAUUGGACAAUGGGCGAAAGCCUGAUCCAGCAACGCCGCGUGAGGGAUGACGGCCUUCGGGUUGUAAACCUCUUUCAGCGGGGACAAAGCGCCGGUAAUGGUGGUGACGGUACCCGCAGAAGAAGCACCGGCCAACUACGUGCCAGCAGCCGCAGUAA